This 76-nucleotide transfer RNA is filed under the name Streptomyces albogriseolus. RNAcentral describes it as "tRNA-Lys". It matches the Rfam family "tRNA". From Rfam's summary of the family: Transfer RNA (tRNA) molecules are approximately 80 nucleotides in length. RNAcentral also lists the same sequence under 242 other names. The record is from RNAcentral. Lineage: Bacteria; Bacillati; Actinomycetota; Actinomycetes; Kitasatosporales; Streptomycetaceae.
GCGCCGCUAGCUCAGUUGGUUAGAGCAGCUGACUCUUAAUCAGCGGGUCCGGGGUUCGAGUCCCUGGCGGCGCACC